AGUAACGCGUGGAUAACCUGCCGUAUACAGGGGGAUAACACUUAGAAAUAGGUGCUAAUACCGCAUAAGCGCACAGCUUUGCAUGAAGCAGUGUGAAAAGCAAAAAGUUAAAACCUUUGACGGUAUACGAUGGAUCCGCGUCUGAUUAGCCAGUUGGCGGGGUAACGGCCCACCAAAGCGACGAUCAGUAGCCGGCCUGAGAGGGCGGACGGCCACAUUGGGACUGAGACACGGCCCAGACUCCUACGGAAGGCAGCAG
This 259-nucleotide ribosomal RNA is filed under the name uncultured bacterium. RNAcentral describes it as "partial 16S ribosomal RNA". It matches the Rfam family "Bacterial small subunit ribosomal RNA", at positions 109 to 354 of the family's 1533-position model. The record is from RNAcentral.